AUCUACGGCCAUGUCACCCUGAACAAGCCUGAUGUCUGAUCUCGGAAGCUAAGCAGGGUCGGGCCUGGUUAGUAUUUGGAUGAGAGACCACCUAGGAAGACCAGGAGCUAUAGGCG
RNAcentral lists this ribosomal RNA (116 nucleotides) under Pteropus alecto (black flying fox). Lineage: Eukaryota; Metazoa; Chordata; Mammalia; Chiroptera; Pteropodidae. The record is from RNAcentral.